GGGGACAACGUUCCGAAAGGAGCGCUAAUACCGCAUACGUCCUACGGGAGAAAGCAGGGGACCUUCGGGCCUUGCGCUAAUAGAUGAGCCUAAGUCGGAUUAGCUAGUUGGUAGGGUAAAGGCCUACCAAGGCGACGAUCUGUAGCGGGUCUGAGAGGAUGAUCCGCCACACUGGGACAGAGACACGGCCCAGACUCCUACGGGAGGCAGCAGUGGGGAAUAUUGGACAAUGGGGGGAACCCUGAUCCAGCCAUGCCGCGUGUGUGAAGAAGGCCUUUUGGUUGUAAAGCACUUUAAGCGAGGAGGAGGCUACCUAGAUUAAUACUUUAGGAUAGUGGACGUUACUCGCAGAAUAAGCACCGGCUAACUCUGUGCCAGCAGCCGCGGUAAUACAGAGGGUGCGAGCGUUAAUCGGAUUUACUGGGCGUAAAGCGUGCGUAGGCGGCCAAUUAAGUCAAAUGUGAAAUCCCCGAGCUUAACUUGGGAAUUGCAUUCGAUACUGGUUGGCUAGAGUAUGGGAGAGGAUGGUAGAAUUCCAGGUGUAGCGGU
This 549-nucleotide ribosomal RNA is filed under the name Acinetobacter radioresistens WC-A-157. RNAcentral describes it as "bacterial SSU rRNA". It matches the Rfam family "Bacterial small subunit ribosomal RNA", at positions 139 to 682 of the family's 1533-position model. Lineage: Bacteria; Pseudomonadati; Pseudomonadota; Gammaproteobacteria; Moraxellales; Moraxellaceae. The record is from RNAcentral.